AUUGAACGCUGGCGGCAUGCCUUACACAUGCAAGUCGAACGGUAACGCGGGGCAACCUGGCGACGAGUGGCGAACGGGUGAGUAAUGCAUCGGAACGUGCCCAGUAGUGGGGGAUAGCCCGGCGAAAGCCGGAGUAAUACCGCAUACGACCUACGGGUGAACGCGGGGGAUCGCAAGACCUCGCGCUAUUGGAGCGGCCGAUGUCAGAUUAGGUAGUUGGUGGGGUAAAGGCCUACCAAGCCUUCGAUCUGUAGCUGGUCUGAGAGGACGACCAGCCACACUGGGACUGAGACACGGCCCAGACUCCUACGGGAGGCAGCAGUGGGGAAUUUUGGACAAUGGGCGCAAGCCUGAUCCAGCCAUGCCGCGUGCGGGAAGAAGGCCCUCGGGUUGUAAACCGCUUUUGUCAGGGAAGAAACACUCUGGGCUAAUACCUCAGGGUAAUGACGGUACCUGAAGAAUAAGCACCGGCUAACUACGUGCCAGCAGCCGCAGUAA
This 498-nucleotide ribosomal RNA is filed under the name uncultured bacterium. RNAcentral describes it as "partial 16S ribosomal RNA". It matches the Rfam family "Bacterial small subunit ribosomal RNA", at positions 29 to 523 of the family's 1533-position model. The record is from RNAcentral.